AAUGCGCAGAUAUCAGGGGAACACCGAUGCGAAGGCAGGUCUCUGGGCCAUAACUGACACUGAGAAGCGAAAGCAUGGGGAGCGAACAGGAUUAGAUACCCUGGUAGUCCAUGCCGCAGCUAACGCAUUAAGCGCCCCGCCUGGGGAGUACGGCCGCAAGGCUAAAACUCAAAGAAUACGCCCGCACAAGCGGCGGAGCAUGCGGAUUAAUUCGAUGCAACGCGAAGAACCUUACCAAGGCUUGACAUACACGGAAAAGAUGCCCAGGUGGUGCAUGGUUGUCGUCAGCUCGUGUCGUGAGAUGUUGGGUUAAGUCCCGCAACGAGCGCAACCCUCGUUCUAUGUUGCCAGGACGGGGACUCAUAGGAGACUGCCGGGGUCAACUCGGAGGAAGGUGGGGAUGACGUCAAAUCAUCAUGCCCCUUAUGUCUUGGGCUUCACGCAUGCUACAAUGGCCGGU
RNAcentral lists this ribosomal RNA (460 nucleotides) under bacterium. Its description in RNAcentral is "bacterial SSU rRNA". It matches the Rfam family "Bacterial small subunit ribosomal RNA", at positions 685 to 1238 of the family's 1533-position model. The record is from RNAcentral.